ACAGCCAGCUCAAGCAUUCUCUUGCAACAGCUCAGAGCUCCAGUCUCAAGUGAUCAGGGACCACAAUUUGAAACUAACCCCCGUCUCAUCUUCUGCCCCCCAGACUCCACACUGGCCAGAUAUGGGAGUCUGUAAAAACCUUUUAUAAAACUGGUGAAGGAAACAAAAAUCAGCUAAAGGAGGUGGUCUGAGACGGCAAGUUCAGACGCUUGGAAAUCCAGACACCACAGCACUGCCCCACCUUCCAAUCCAAGGAUGCAAUGUGAGAAUCAGGUCCAACUGGAAAGCCAAAGACACAAAAAUGAGCACCAUGGGAGGAGAGGCAAAACGGGAGGAAAAGCAAAGCCAGCAGGUGCCAACAGACGAGCUGCCUCCCGUGCAUGAUUGUCAACAGAGCCCCAGAGCCUCCCGGAGAAGACGGGCGAGGC
Molecule: long non-coding RNA, 428 nt
Organism: Neofelis nebulosa (Clouded leopard)
Lineage: Eukaryota; Metazoa; Chordata; Mammalia; Carnivora; Felidae
Exons: 3
Source: RefSeq, a predicted model, not a curated record